GUCCAUCUGUGAGUAACAGGCACAUUCAAAACUAAAAAAGGUUUUAAUCCAUCUCCACCAGUCGCAGUGGUCCCUAAAGAAAUUUGUCUUACACAAUAUGAAUGAAAUAGCACUGCGUUUGCCAGAAUAUCGAUAUGUCCAAAGUAAAAGCAAUAAGCCCACUCCUUCCCCCUCACCUCUACUCAUUGUAUACUGCAGGUUAGGAUCACUCAAGGAAUCGCUAGUUGGAUAUCUCACUCUAAACGUUUCUUACAUUGAAUCCAUUUGGUGCUUUUCAUCCCACCAUUCAAACCCAACCGGCUGCUUUAACUCACGCAGAUAAACUGCCACAAAAUGAGGGGCAGGUGGUGAACGCAGCCUAUUCAGAAGAUAUUCUAAACCAGGGUUUGUCUCCACUGAAAGAGGAUUACUGGCUAAAGGUGUGGCUCCUUUUAACUCGCAGUAACAUUGCUUGCGCAUGCGUGUACUGUGUGUGUGUGUGUGUGUGUGUGUCUUAACUGGCCAACAUGAACACACCAUUAUGAACCCAGGAUGGGGCUGAAGCUCUUUCAGCACCUCCCCUUCAGAAUGCAGAGGUAAGCCUGGACUCACUUUAAAGCCUGCAUGUGGUUCCAGUGGCGCAGAAGCAGCAAUAAUUCACGGGCGCUCGUUGGAUUGAGGUUGGAGCAUCAAUCACACGCGGGAGAGGAGGCUGAAGUUUGGCACGUCAGGAGAGAUCUCAGAACUAUCCCUGGCAUCUGACCGGCCGCAUCUCAGAUGUGGAAUUUGGCCGGUAAUAACAGCAGAGCAGGAAGGUGUGUCUGUUAUUAUUGUUGAGGCUGCUUGGAACAAUCUCCAGCGCAGAAAGCGUAUCGCCACAUUGAGUAGCAGCGGCUACAUGAGCGGAGGUCCGUGCGCCGGUUCCCAAACUAGGCUGAAUCCCGUCAGAAUGCGGCUCUCCUCUUUCCUGUGUUUGGUUUUUGAAGUGUGACGUGAGUCCAGGGUGUGGUUCUAAAGCCGUGCGUGUGCACACACACACACACACACACAGAGCUACACUGGCCUUGUUGUUUUCCAAGCGCACACAGCUUGACUAAUGACAAAAAAAAGGGUGAGAGGAAGGUUUGUAAAAAGGUAGAAUUUGACAUUUGAGGGAAAAACACAACUUUCUUGCCCCCUUAUGUAGGUGGAUUAACUUCCGAAUUUCGGCACAUAACCCUCAGAUAAAACCACCAGUUGCUCUUUUAACAGUUUGGGUUUAGUGCAGAUCCACCGAGCGAAAGGUUAGGGAGGGCGUCUGCAGUAGUUUUAUGUCCGAAAUGUGCUUAAUGGGUGCAGCCAUGUAUGAGCUGAGGUGUUUGGGCUGCGAGCAGAGACAGGAGUUCACAAGGUUGCCUGAGUGCACGUCUGAGGCGGAGGGAGGAGAGGCGGUGUGGCUGGGUGAGCGCCUUCGGGCAACAAAGUGGGUCAAGCAAGUUUCACCCAGGGGCGGGAAGAUAGCAGUGACCUUCAGUGCACACGCACAAACACACAGAAAACACAGACACGUGCAUGAUGUCACCUGGUAGCUGCAGCACAGACACAAAAUGUCCACUGUCACCUCUUGUUCUAAAUCUAUGUGUGUUGCAUCUCAAACAUUCUGAUCCCAGCGAGAGGAGAUCCGUUCCACAACCUCUCCGGAGGUUGUAUCACAUCCACACACUUUUAAGCGUCACUCCCUUCCGCUUUGUUCUGCUCUCAGUCUCUGUCCUUUUUGGUUAUCUUCUUAGGUGGAGUCUGGCCUCACACACUGGACCAGGCGGUGGUCUAAUCGGAGCUCGGCAGUCACAGGUCACGGGGGGAAAGGGAGAGGGAGGGAGGCGGGAGGACAAAUUAAGGAGGGGAAAGAGGAGAUGGAAGCACAUGGGCUGGCUUUCUUGUAGCAACAGGCCUCCCUUUUAGCCUCUCCUUGUCUGUGUGCUCCCAGCCAGCCCCCCCUGCCAAGUCCUGUCUCUCCCUCGUCCGUCUCCUCCUCUCCCACGAUGAUAACAGGCCGUUGUGUGCAGAGACACCCAAACUACUUUCCCUUCCCUCCCUGGCCUCCUCUUGUGGGACGCUCAACAGAGCCGUCACUGCUGCACACACGCGUAACACAAAGCACCGAGGAACCGUCCGGCUUCAUUGUGCCACUCGGCUGGACCCGGCUCACUUUUUGCGUCGCCUGGUCAGGUCCUUCUCCAUAUUUCGAUUCCCACUGCAGAUGGCAUCCCCUCCGUGUCUCGGCUGACAGCCAUAGUGUUAGAGAUUUCCAUUGGCAUCGUCCUCAACGCCGCACUCGCUGGAGCCUUUCAUUGGCAGUCAAACGACGUCCGCACUUUAUCCUCCGCGGUGUGCGGUCACUACUGACCAUUUAAAAAUGGCGGGUUUGUGCAGGACGCCCUGUGUCAGCAGUAUUUCAGCGCCACCCACUCGUAUUGGCACAGCUUGCGGAAGGCGGUGACAAAGAAAAUACAUACAUUUAGCUGAACGUAACAACAAAAAAGUGAGUUGAGUCGAGCAGCUGGGCCGGAACACGGAAUGGCCGGUUUAUUUAAAUAGCACACUUCUGCAACAAGGCCGCUCUGAAAGCUUUACAUUAGACAACAAAUGCACCAUAACAAAGAGAGCAAAGCCUUAAUCCUGAGAACUGGUGCUUUUGAAAGGAGUAGAAUAGUAUUUACCAUGAACAAGAGUCCCCCACCACUUACAGCGGUGCAGUUAGUGUACGUUCUGAAAGCAUCUGUGCAGAGUGGAGUCAAAGAGCUGAAGAAUUACAAUUGCAAGUGUUUCAAAGGAUGGCAUCAGAAGGGAUAAUUAGAAUUUAAUCAAGCACUUAAAUAAACAGCACUGCAAGGCAUUCAAGUUCCCACCUGUAGUAGCACAGGAGAGACUUUUGCUCGGACUCGGCAUUAAAAGAGGAGAUAAAAAUGUGUACAGUACACACCACUUUUUGCACCUCGGUUUGAUAUCUCGAUGCGUUGUGUGACUAAAGAAAUGCAUAUAGUUAUUACUAACAUAGUGUAGUGGAUGGACUCAACAUCGUAGCAUUGGUAUAAGAUGGAGCAAAGAUUCUGACAGGUUGAUCUGUAGUUAUUAAGCCCCCCCACACCAGAAAGAAGCUGCUGUGUCCACACUGUUUCUCUGUAAUCCCCUUGUGUCCCACUCAUAGAGCUGAUUCGACAUAUUGCCCGGUCUCAUCGACAGGGCAAACACAUUAGCGCACCAUACCCUCGAUGUGCAGAGCGGGCCAAAUUGACUUGUGUGGAAAUGGCUCCCAUCCCAGUAUCAAAUCUCAUUUGGAAAUGAAGAGGAAACAAAUGCACAUUUGGAUACAGUGACAUAAGAACUGGGCCAAGUGGCAUUCCUGGAAUGAACAACUUAUACGCAAUUAGCAUUAAAACAAUGGCUCCUCAGUCAGAGUCAUAACCCGAGAUCAGAGCGGUGAAGAGGCAGAGGGACACGGUGUGUGUGUGUGUCUCUCUGAAAGGCUGCAUGCAUGCUUCGCUGCACACACGUACACUAAAGUAGGGAAAAUAAAAAAGAAAGCUGACUUUGGAUGUUGUUUCAGAAAACAUUCUACAAUGAGAUAAGGGAAAAUAAAAAGCGCAAACACAUCUUUGAAACUCACCCACACAGACACAUAACCCCACACACACACACACACACGCACACACACACACAGGAUUGUGUGCGUGUUUGGCUGUUUGCGUAUCAAACAGACGAGCAGGUCGCUUAAAGCAAAACACCCCGAGGGGGAAACAUGCAAAUCCAUCCAGCAGUUUCCUGAUGGUGUUUGGUGCUACGCCCAUUCUCCAACCGUUUUCUUUUUUCUCCAACAGCAGUUGGACGUGAGCCAAUGCGCGGCGAUCCCAACAACGACCAGGCAAAGACAAAAAUCCCAGAUUUCAGCUGCAUGCCAGACACAAAUUGUGUGAAACAUUCUUCUGAGCUAAGAAGGAAUGUUUUUACUCGCGUCCUGUGAACGGGUCAUUUGUCCUUGCGACUGAUCUCUACGGGUUACGGCCGCUCUCUCUCUCUCUCCCCUCUAUGACGAUGCUCUGAUUCAUAGCGACACUCAUCUCCACCAGACAUUUGCAUCCUCCUCCGGUACGCAUACUCACUUCCUGCUGCACAGAGAGCCAGAAGGAGCAGAGAGGACAGCGAGCACCUCCAAAUAAAACACAGAUGGAAUUUCUCAUGAGGCGUCAGGGGGCUAGAAAGAGGCUUUUAUUUUUCUACAGAAGGGAUCUAAAAUGUGGUAACACGUGUACAUGCACACACACGCACACACACCUCUGACAAUGAAGAAUUGACUCAUUGUUCAGAUACCGUGGGCUGGGUCAUUAAAAUCUUUGUUGAUACAGUGAUUCAGGCCUUUCGUGACUGAAAUGAAGGGCUUUUAAACUUUCUCAUUCACAUUAACAUUCUUGAUCAUUGAUUUCGAACAUUCCCUUAUUCAAAGAUAAAAUAAAUAUCAGUUGAAAAACAACCUUAUCUUUGAUCAGCGCAUAGUAGGUGGAGUGAAAUGGCUCGCUGAUGGCUGCCUCCCUCACUUCAGUGAGCGCCUUUUCUCCUUUACAGGUCCUGCAUGUGUGCAGUUAUGUUCCUUGGUACGAUUUAGAGUGAGAACAAUAACUCUAUUGUUACAAAUGAAUCAUUUUAGGAUGUUAUCUUGGGCUCUGAAAUGAUCACAGAGAAGAGGUACGUCUAACUAAUUUCAGUCAUUAGAUAGAAAAUGAAUAAUCAGAUGAACGGAUCAUUAAACAAUAAUUACAUGUAGACCUACUGUGAUCCUGUGGUCACAUGGUCAAUGGAACAUGUAAAUUAGGGAAGCAAUUGAUAAUGGUUAUCAAUUCGUUUGGCAAUUGUUUUUCAUUAUAAUAUAGUAAUAGUUCUGUCUGCCCAUUUUUAAGUCUCGUUUUAUACAACUAAUGUCCAAAAAUCCAACUAUAUUUAGAUCACAGUCAUGGAUGAAAAGGAAACAAAAAACUAAUUCCCACACUCCCACAGAGUAUUUUCCUUGAGAGCAAUUACUGAAGUGAUAAUCCACUAUAACUAUAUUAGUUUUAGAGUGAAUAGCAGUGUAGUGAGCUCAUGCCUUGACAGUUGUGUGAUGGUCCAGCUUGUGUGUGUAGGGAACACAAGGUUAAUUCAGUCCUCCUCACUCCAUUAAAAGCAGAUGGAGACACAAUCAGCUGUUUCUGUAUCCCGCCAAGCAGGAUUUCCUCUUUCCAGAACAUUUCUGCUAUGCUGAUGUGUGACAGAGCUCUUUGUGAAUACACGCACACACAUCAUAUAUAUACAAACACACACACCCUGUCAACCAUGCUUUUGAAGCCUCAGUUAGGGACGAUAAGAAGCGGGUGUAACGACAUGCUUUCUGCUAUAAAGAAGCAGACAAUCUCCCAAGAAACAAGAAGUCAAAGGAAUGAAAGGCAAUAAAGACAUUUCAGAGAGGAGUCUGCUGCCCUUCUUAGCUGCAUGGAAAUCCAUUUCAACGGCUGCGUCUCCGUUCUUCGCAAACCCUCUACAACAGAGCCCUGUCCCUGGAGAUCAAAUGCAUAAUUUGUGCUCCGAUCAUCUACUGUCUCUCACAGCAGAGCACUGAAACUCCAUUUAACAUCAGCCCCCCUUUGAAAGAAGAACAUAGGCUGGAGAGACACACUAUGGCAGAUAACAGCUAUGGUACACAGACGACCCAUUCAGUACUGCUCACAGACCAAGCCGGCCUGCAGCCAGUUAUCGCAGCGCUUCGUCCCUCUUACGGCCUUGGACGCGGUGUGAGAACUGAGAUAGAACCCAAACACUCGCGUCUGUUCUGCUGUGAAAAUCUUUACCUUCGCCUCUAUUUCAGUAAACAAAGAUUAAAGUGUUAACUCAUCACCCGACAGUGGAGGGCUCUUUGUUAAGUGAGCGGCCAUUGGUAAAUCUGAAUGACCUCCACUUGAAGGGACUGAAUGGAGAGUCUGCAUAAAUCAGUCUUUAUGUAGAGCACUAGUAAACCCCUGACAGAAGGUUAGUGCUCCGUCCAAUGAGCCCGCCACGUACAGUGAGGCUUUCCCUCGCACCCACUCCCUCCACUGACCAGGGAGACACAAGACCGACCUGUGGCAAGAAAGGCCUCCCCAACAUCUGUGUUUAUACUCUGGGUGAAGCUAGCAGGCUAUAUUUACCCCGGUUAAACAUGUCCAGGGCAGAGAGGAACACAAAGAUGUAGCCUGAGACACCUACUUGGGUCUCCGAGCCUUUGUAAAAAGAUAGAAACUGCACUAUUAUGCGGAGGAAGCGCAUUUGAAGACAUUUACUCACGAAGCUGUGAUUUGUCCGAUUCAUCAUCUUCCCCGAGAAGAAGAAACAGAUUGGUAAACAACACCUUGAGGCUAUCUGACCUCUGCGGGAGUGAGAAGAAAAAAAUGGAGGCUCUGUAGAUCAACUGCCUACCUAGCAAAUGCCUUAUGGCUGCACAGGGCAUACAGCACUUACUCAUUUCAGGAAACAUUGGUGUGCUCCUCUCUGUGUAAAUCUCUGACCUGUCUGACCUGACACGGUCAUGCACGCUGACUUAUGGAUAAGACCCUCAGGAGAGGCCCAUGCAUCAAAGGCAGGGGACAGGGGGGGGUUUCUCUGCAUUACAGCUGGUAGUCUGAUGCUAUUUCGUCUUAAACUGUAACACCUGCCCUCUGACUAAUACGCGAAUGGUGCAGGGCUACCGGGCUUUGUUCCAGUCACCAUAGACUAUAUGGGACACGGGUAGGAUUGUUACGAUACAGGCUGUUUUAAUGUCUUGCUCCAUAUGUUAUUGAUUGUUCCAGGGUAAAUCGAUGUUGGUAUUGAUGCCUUCCUGUUGCACGUGGCGAGUGUGAUAUGUGACUAGUUGCAGACCUGCAGCCACUCUCUAUUUAAGGUGGCUCCUGGUUUUCACAAACUGUUUGCCUGAUGGAGGUCCACUGGAAGUGGAAUAAAUCUAUAUUUGCAAGUUAGACAGUAAUAUAUAUAUAUAUAUAUAUAUAUAUAUAUAUA
Long non-coding RNA from Gasterosteus aculeatus aculeatus (three-spined stickleback), 7017 nucleotides. Lineage: Eukaryota; Metazoa; Chordata; Actinopteri; Perciformes; Gasterosteidae. The record is from Ensembl.